This 330-nucleotide ribosomal RNA is filed under the name uncultured bacterium. Its description in RNAcentral is "bacterial SSU rRNA". It matches the Rfam family "Bacterial small subunit ribosomal RNA", at positions 28 to 351 of the family's 1533-position model. The record is from RNAcentral.
GAUGAACGCUGGCGGCGUGCCUAAUACAUGCAAGUCGAACGAGGUGCUUUUGUAGCAAUACGGAAGUAUCCUAGUGGCGAACGGGUGAGUAACGCGUUGGUGACCUGCCCCAAAGUGUGGGAUAACAGUUCGAAAGAACUGCUAAUACCGCAUGUGAUCAUUGGAUUUAGAAACUGAUGAUUAAAGCAGUAAUGCGCUUUGGGAGGGACCUGCGUCCCAUCAGCUAGUUGGUGAGGUAAUGGCUCACCAAGGCGACGAUGGUUAGCGGGUCUGAGAGGAUGAUCCGCCACACUGGCACUGGAACACGGGCCAGACUCCUACGGGAGGCAG